RNAcentral lists this ribosomal RNA (459 nucleotides) under uncultured bacterium. Its description in RNAcentral is "partial 16S ribosomal RNA". It matches the Rfam family "Bacterial small subunit ribosomal RNA", at positions 338 to 795 of the family's 1533-position model. The record is from RNAcentral.
CCUACGGGUGGCAGCAGUGAGGAAUAUUGGUCAAUGGACGAGAGUCUGAACCAGCCAAGUAGCGUGAAGGAUGACUGCCCUAUGGGUUGUAAACUUCUUUUAUAAAGGAAUAAAACGAGGCACGUUUGCCUUUUUGCAUGUACUUUAUGAAUAAGGAUCGGCCAACUCCGGGCAAGCAGCCGCGGUAAUACGGAGGAUCCGACCGGUAUCCGGAUUUAUUGGGUUUAAAGGGUGCGUAGGCGGAAUAUCAAGUCAGCGGUAAAAAUUCGGGGCUAAAGCCCGUCGUGCCGUGGAAACUGAUGUUCUUGAGUGGGCGAGAAGUAUGCGGAAUGCGUGGUGUAGCGGUGAAAUGCGUAGAUAUCACGCAGAACUCCGAUUGCGAAGGCAGCAUACCGGCGCCCAACUGACGCUGAAGCACGAAAGCGUGGGUAUCGAACAGGAUUAGAUACCCUUGUAGUC